RNAcentral lists this long non-coding RNA (1428 nucleotides) under Malus domestica (apple). RNAcentral's name for it is "long non-coding RNA (MDOM_LNC007350)". Lineage: Eukaryota; Viridiplantae; Streptophyta; Magnoliopsida; Rosales; Rosaceae. The record is from RNAcentral.
UUCUUUUAUAAAUCCACAAUAAAGAACAAUAAUUGGCUACUCAAAGAUGAAUAGGAACACCUAUUCCAAAUUUCUCAAAAUUGUUCGUUGUCAAUUUAUAGAACUUCGUUUUUGUAAUCAGAACAGUUCAUAUUAUAAAUCACCCUAUAAAGAUUGCCUUCGCAAAAAAUCAAUUAAAACUAAGAUCAUUUAUUCAUCAAACUGUUUAAAAACAAAUGAAUGCUAUUGGUAAAAGCAUUAUGAGCCGUCUAUGCAUUUGCUACAAUAAAUUGACUAAACGACCUUACUUUUAAUUUAUUUUUUGCAGAGAUGAUAUUUACAGUGUGAUUCAUAGUAUGAACGGUUCUGAUCAUAAGCACAAAACUAUGUGAUUAAAACACUAAGAGUUUUAAGUAAGAGUUCCUACUCAUCUUUGAGUAGCCAAAUAUUGUUCCACACUAAAUCUCACUUGUCCAUGGUUAUUAGCAUCUCGCGCAAAGUGAAAGUAUAUAUAUAAUACACAACAUACAUGGUAGGUUAAUAUGAUACAAAUAAAACCCUAAUUUCACUUUUGCCCUAGUUAGCCUGUGCUCACAUGUGAAAUCCGUUCAACUUAUCAAAGAGGGCCACGUAGCAUUUGGAGGACGUCUAAAUGGAUGUUGAUUUCAAACGCCUUAGAAAAUACUGUGACAAGAAAAGUAGUCUCCAAGGAUAAGAAGAUGACAAGAAAAUAUGAAAGAGAGGGACGUACGUUUUAGAAUUUCACAAGUGAGAGCUGUCAAAAAUAUUACCUCUUUGAGUUUGUGCAAAACACCACCAUGGCACCGCAAAGACAGCAGAGAAAGAAAGAAAAAGAGGUUAAAAACGCAUUGGAAGAAAAAGAAAAAGGAAGGGGAAGAAGAAUAUAUGAAGAAGAGAAAGAAAAGUUUGUAUAGUGAGGAUCUUUCAGUGCCAUCAAUUCACUUAAUUGUGUUUGGACUGUCAUCCAUUUACUCCAUCACUUUCCCUACACAUUUUGCACCCACUUUCCCUUACAUGUACACGACCAUUUUGUCACCAUGCGAUCAUGUUCUCCUUCAUUACCCCCUCUCAACUUUCGAAUUUAUAAUACAAGUAACACAAGUCAUGUUAUGUGUCAUUUCAUGUAUUAUAAUAUGGGUGAAGGAAUGACUUGACAUAUCUCAUUUUUAAAGUAUAUUUAUAUUAAAUAAAUAAAUUCACAAGUUGUAAUUUAAGUAAAAUAAUAUCGUUACGUGACUAUGUUUCGAACAUCAAAAAAUUACUUCACAACCUUCUUUCUUUCCCGAAAGAAAAAUUUUAAAUUGAAAAGAGAAAAGGAUGAUGAAAAAGAAAGGGGAAUGAAACUGUAGAACAUAAAGUCAUGGUCUCAGUCUAUAAAGAUGUCCCAUCUAAAUCUAGUUGGGAAUAUAUUUCAAUCCAAAUAAUGAU